UAAUCCCAAGUCACUGUGGUCAGCAAAAGGAGAUGCACCUGCUACACCCCAGCUUUGGAAUCCUCAGUCACCUGUCAGAGGAAUCCACGUUGCGUAGCUAUUUUGGAAGAGAGACAAGCAUGAAGCAGAUUCAAUUGGGGCGGCUCUGAAGGCCUAUGACAGCUGGCAAAGUGUUCCUGAAGGGUUGCUUCCUGUGUGCUUCUCCCAAUGAAGAAGAGAUCUCCAGAGAGACCAGCCCCAGAAUAUCCUAGAUGUCACUGCCCAGCCCCUUAGUGGGUGUAAAUCGACCUAGCCCUCAUGGUUGGAGAGAAAAGCUGG
This is a long non-coding RNA of Trachemys scripta elegans, 318 nucleotides long. RefSeq lists it as uncharacterized. Lineage: Eukaryota; Metazoa; Chordata; Testudines; Emydidae. The transcript is spliced from 3 exons. The record is from RefSeq and is a predicted model, not a curated record.